CAGUCGCCGCGGUAAUACGGAGGAUCCAAGCGUUAUCCGGAAUCAUUGGGUUUAAAGGGUCCGUAGGCGGUCUUGUAAGUCAGUGGUGAAAGCCCAUCGCUCAACGGUGGAACGGCCAUUGAUACUGCAGGACUUGAAUUAUUGGGAAGUAACUAGAAUAUGUAGUGUAGCGGUGAAAUGCUUAGAGAUUACAUGGAAUACCAAUUGCGAAGGCAGCUGGCUACACAACUAUUGACGCUGAGGCACGAAAGCGUGGGGAUCAAACAGGAUUAGAGACCCCCGUAGUCCCUGUCUCUUAUAA
This 301-nucleotide ribosomal RNA is filed under the name uncultured bacterium. Its description in RNAcentral is "partial 16S ribosomal RNA". It matches the Rfam family "Bacterial small subunit ribosomal RNA", at positions 509 to 809 of the family's 1533-position model. The record is from RNAcentral.